This is a long non-coding RNA of Carassius carassius (crucian carp), 868 nucleotides long. RefSeq lists it as uncharacterized. NCBI's taxonomy places the organism in Eukaryota, Metazoa, Chordata, Actinopteri, Cypriniformes, Cyprinidae. The transcript has 2 exons. The record is from RefSeq and is a predicted model, not a curated record.
AGCUCACAGAUCUGCACGCGGCUGAACGACGUGCGGGGCUUUUUCCGUUUCGGUGGAGUUCGGUUCUGGUAUGGAUGGCCGAUCCGUCGUGUCACGGAGAACGGUGAAAGAGCAGCUGAAAAACAAGAUUUAGGAGCUAUGUCAGGUGUGCCGAUUGGAGAACAAAUCUAAUAACUAAUUUCCCAGAAACACUCCUCCGCAGAUACAUAUGUGGGUCAAAUGGAAGCAAAAACAAUCCCCGUAUUCAGUCUCGACAGCAGAGGGAAUUCUAAAUGAUAAGUCUGGGUAAUAAAAUUUAUGGUGAGCACAUCAAAAAAUCAAAGCUUGCCUUAGAGAAUAUGCGACCAGUAAUAAAAUCAGUUAUACGUGAUAUCACCUUCAUGCGACAGCGCCUGCCUUUCCCAUUGCGCAUAUUACCUUUGUUGAAAUCUAAUAAAUAUACAUGUAAUGGUUUCAAAGCGCGAUAUUGAAAUGUAACAUGGGCAUUUGUCGCUAUUUACGCGCAGUGAGGCAAAACAGAAUGUGCCUUUAAAUUUUCCCUCAUGCUGGGAAUUGAAAUAUCGAAUAGAAUAAAAUAAUUGUCAGGAAAUGCCAUAAACCGACCGCUCGAGAGCCUCGUCGUCCCUUUAGACACUGUCACCAUGGCUACACGGCCUCGUCUCAGUUUCAUAAUCAUUUGUAUUUAUGGGUGGGAAAGAUCAUUAUUGUCAUUUCAGAUAGAGGGGUAUCCACAUGCAAUUUCAUUUUCCAGUUUCUCCAAGGCCAUUGCUAUCAGAUUACGACCAUCACCUGCCCCUUGUUGUGAUGCAGCUGGACCCAACAGCCCUCUCCAGCAGCGGUAAUACAAAUAAAUUUACCUAGUGAUGAA